RNAcentral lists this long non-coding RNA (1114 nucleotides) under Daphnia pulex (common water flea). Its description in RNAcentral is "uncharacterized LOC124203441, transcript variant X1". The record is from RNAcentral. Lineage: Eukaryota; Metazoa; Arthropoda; Branchiopoda; Diplostraca; Daphniidae.
UUGUUUUGAUCAGGAAGCAGACAACGAGACUUGCAGACGAGUUACUCAUUUGUUCAUGUGUGUUUAUUUUAUAGAUCAUUGAGAUCAUAUCACCACUUAGACGGAACAGCUUCAGCUUACCAAUUAAUUCUCCAAGUUUUUAGAAGAAGGAUUUGACUUGGCUAGUCAACAACACAAGCCAAAAAGAUCAUUGAGAUCAUAUCACCACUGUUACACGGAACAGGUUCAGCUUACCAAUUCUCCAAGUUUUUAGAAGAAGGAUUUGACUUGGCUAGUCAACAACACAAGCCAAGAUCAUUGAUAUCAUAUCAUCACUGUUACAUGGAACACCUUUAGUUGUUGUAAAGAUGCUGCCAGCUAUCCAGCUAAUGUUGAAGGCAUGCAGUCUCAAUCGAUCAUCAUAAACUAGUUAUCUCUGCCAACAUCAGUGAUAUUGUUUGUACCAAACACACUCAGGCAUGCCUUAGUGUGAACUGAGUUCAUUGAGUUUUUAUUUUAUUUAUUAUUUUGUUAUUUCACAUUUUCAUGACAUGGCAACGUCAUGAAAAUUUGCACAUUUCAAACAUAUCGGCAACGUUUAGAGCGUCAAAGACGCUCAUGUCUCCUAGCACUUUACGAGAGCACUUCUCUCGUGGUGAAACCGUGAAAUAGUGUUUUAUUUAUGUGAAAUAAGAAGCCGUCAAGUCGAUAUUCGAAAUUUUCCGUCACAUAAAAGUUCCAAACUCUUCAUCUAUGCGAUGGACAUCACUCAGUGGAGUGCUUCUGAAGUUAAGCAAGCUUUGGAAGCAGAAGGCUUUGAGUUGGAUAUCUGCGAAACUUUGUGUACGCUCAGAGAAUCUCAAUCCAACAUGUUCAAGUCAAGCUGAGACUGCGUGAACACCAAUGCUGACAAAGUACGCUCAGAGAAUCUCAAUCCAACAUGUUCAAGUCAAGCUGAGACUGUGAACACCAAUGCUGACAAAGUACGCUCAGAGAAUCUCAAUCCAACAUGUUCAAGUCAAGCUGAGACUUCAAACACCAAUGCUGACAAAGUGAGUCUGAUGGACUGAUGUGUUCCGUAAUAUUUCAUUUUUUGACGAUUGAUUGUAACUUCAAUACAAUAAUGUGUUACUCA